RNAcentral lists this ribosomal RNA (381 nucleotides) under uncultured bacterium. RNAcentral describes it as "bacterial SSU rRNA". It matches the Rfam family "Bacterial small subunit ribosomal RNA", at positions 524 to 898 of the family's 1533-position model. The record is from RNAcentral.
UACGUAGGGUGCGAGCGUUGUCCGGAUUUACUGGGCGUAAAGAGUCUGUAGGCGGAUAAGUAGGUUAUUGGUUAAAGGUUCCGGCUCAACCGGAGAAAUGCUGAUAAUACCGCUUAUCUAGUCCUCGAGAGGGGGUGCUGGAACUUACUGUGUAGGGGUGAAAUCCGUUGAUACAGUAAGGAACACCAACGGCGAAGGCGAGCACCUGGAUCGAUGGAGACGCUGAGAGACGAAAGCUAGGGUAGCAAAUCGGAUUAGAGACCCGAGUAGUCCUAGCCCUAAAUGAUGUCCGUUGCCUUUUCGUUUUUAGUUUAUCUGAAAGUGAGAGGGGUAGCUAACGCGUUAAACGGACCGCCUGGGGAGUACGGUCGCAAGGCUGAA